GAAUUCCCAAGUUUUCCUUUUGCUUUCGAGUCGCUCACUUUUGUUUCAACACCAUUUGGGUACAAAAUCUUCGUGUUAUGUUCCAAGUUUUCAUCAAUUUCAGCUUUCAUUUACGAUUCAAGAUUCAAUUCUUGGCAAAAAUUUGAUAAUCUUGAGCCAAUUCUAAGCGACAAUUGUCAUCAGGAAGGUGUGUUCUUUAAUGGGUCAUUGUACUUCACCACUCCAGAGCCAUUUUCAAUAGUGUGCCUUGAUAUGGAGAUUGGAAAGUGGAAGAGAUUUAGCAACGAAUUCCCAGAAGAACUGACUUUUGUUAGGCUGGUGAGUGACGGAAAAGGGAAUCUGUAUUUGAUUGGUGGAAUUGGCAGAAAUGGGAUUUCAAAGAUGAUGAAAUUGUGGGAAUUGGGUGAUGGUGGGAAUU
RNAcentral lists this unclassified non-coding RNA (418 nucleotides) under Hevea brasiliensis (rubber tree). The record is from RNAcentral. Lineage: Eukaryota; Viridiplantae; Streptophyta; Magnoliopsida; Malpighiales; Euphorbiaceae.